UUCAUGUAUAUUUUUGGUGCUCGUGUAUUAUAUAGAUCGAGAGGUUGUGAAAUCUGCAAAAAGUGGGAGUAAUGGAGAGGAGUUAGAGAUUCUUCCGACACUUCCCUUCUUAAUUCGCGCGGCUGCCCAUUUUCAUAUGUAUUUUUGGUUCUCGUGUGUUGUAUAGAUCGAGAGGCUGUGGAAUCUGCAAAAGUGGAGAACAUAUUUCAGAGACCUCCUUUUACCGAUUCAAUUUUUUUGGAGAAAUUAUUGUAGGUUUAGUAGAGAGAACGUGUGGAAGAGGGGAGCGAGAUAAAAGUGACAAUACACAAUCUUUUAAAUGUACCUAAAAUUUGGGAAGAAAAACUGUAAAAAAACUGCCAC
Molecule: long non-coding RNA, 363 nt
Filed under: Salvia miltiorrhiza (redroot sage)
Lineage: Eukaryota; Viridiplantae; Streptophyta; Magnoliopsida; Lamiales; Lamiaceae
Description: long non-coding RNA (SMIL_LNC013326)
Source: RNAcentral